This 157-nucleotide ribosomal RNA is filed under the name uncultured bacterium. Its description in RNAcentral is "partial 16S ribosomal RNA". It matches the Rfam family "Bacterial small subunit ribosomal RNA", at positions 355 to 509 of the family's 1533-position model. The record is from RNAcentral.
UGAGGAAUAUUGGUCAAUGGGCGGGAGCCUGAACCAGCCAAGUCGCGUGAGGGAUGACGGUCCUACGGAUUGUAAACCUCUUUUGCCGGGGAGCAAGCGUGCGUUCGUGAACGCGCGUCGAGAGUACCCGGAGAAAAGCAUCGGCUAACUCCGUGCC